UCCUGUUAUGUGGGCGCUGGGGA
This 23-nucleotide unclassified non-coding RNA is filed under the name Mus musculus (house mouse). RNAcentral describes it as "oocyte_clustered_small_RNA12266". Lineage: Eukaryota; Metazoa; Chordata; Mammalia; Rodentia; Muridae. The record is from RNAcentral.